RNAcentral lists this ribosomal RNA (292 nucleotides) under uncultured bacterium. Its description in RNAcentral is "partial 16S ribosomal RNA". It matches the Rfam family "Bacterial small subunit ribosomal RNA", at positions 505 to 796 of the family's 1533-position model. The record is from RNAcentral.
GUGUCAGCCGCCGCGGUAAUACGGAGGGUGCAAGCGUUGUUCGGAAUUAUUGGGCGUAAAGCGCGUGUAGGCGGUCUGUUAAGUCUGAUGUGAAAGCCCCGGGCUCAACCCGGGAAGUGCAUUGGAAACUGGCAGACUUGAGUACGGGAGAGGGUAGUGGAAUUCCGAGUGUAGGGGUGAAAUCCGUAGAUAUUCGGAGGAACACCGGUGGCGAAGGCGGCUACCUGGACCGAUACUGACGCUGAGACGCGAAAGCGUGGGGAGCAAACAGGAUUAGAAACCCCCGUAGUCC